AACGAACGCUGGCGGCAUGCCUAACACAUGCAAGUCGAACGAUCCCUUCGGGGAUAGUGGCGCACGGGUGCGUAACGCGUGGGAACCUGCCCUUAGGUUCGGAAUAACUCAGAGAAAUUUGAGCUAAUACCGGAUAAUGUCUUCGGACCAAAGAUUUAUCGCCUUUGGAUGGGCCCGCGUUGGAUUAGCUAGUUGGUGGGGUAAAGGCCUACCAAGGCGACGAUCCAUAGCUGGUCUGAGAGGAUGAUCAGCCACACUGGGACUGAGACACGGCCCAGACUCCUACGGGAGGCAGCAGUGGGGAAUAUUGGACAAUGGGCGAAAGCCUGAUCCAGCAAUGCCGCGUGAGUGAUGAAGGCCUUAGGGUUGUAAAGCUCUUUUACCCGGGAUGAUAAUGACAGUACCGGGUGAAUAAGCCCCGGCUAACUCCGUG
This 433-nucleotide ribosomal RNA is filed under the name uncultured bacterium. RNAcentral's name for it is "partial 16S ribosomal RNA". It matches the Rfam family "Bacterial small subunit ribosomal RNA", at positions 29 to 507 of the family's 1533-position model. The record is from RNAcentral.